UGGCCGAGUGGUGGAAUUGGCAGACACAAGGGACUUAAAAUCCCUUGAGGGUUUCCCUCGUGCGGGUUCGAGUCCCGCCUCGGCUAA
This 87-nucleotide transfer RNA is filed under the name Kolteria novifilia. Its description in RNAcentral is "Planctomycetes bacterium Pan216 tRNA-Leu". It matches the Rfam family "tRNA". Rfam says of the family: Transfer RNA (tRNA) molecules are approximately 80 nucleotides in length. Their secondary structure includes four short double-helical elements and three loops (D, anti-codon, and T loops). Further hydrogen bonds mediate the characteristic L-shaped molecular structure. tRNAs have two regions of fundamental functional importance: the anti-codon, which is responsible for specific mRNA codon recognition, and the 3' end, to which the tRNAs corresponding amino acid is attached (by aminoacyl-tRNA synthetases). tRNAs cope with the degeneracy of the genetic code in two manners: having more than one tRNA (with a specific anti-codon) for a particular amino acid; and 'wobble' base-pairing, i.e. permitting non-standard base-pairing at the 3rd anti-codon position. The record is from RNAcentral. Lineage: Bacteria; Pseudomonadati; Planctomycetota; Planctomycetia; Kolteriales; Kolteriaceae.